GAAUACAAUUCACCAUUGACAAGCAAUAGCUCCCCAACUCUGAAGCGGGCGGACUCAGAGGAAUGAACGGUUUCACCAUUUGUUAUCGCAGAUGUAAAAUCUUUGAUAGAAAUAGCAUCAAGCGAUUUGGUUCUCUCGGCAGAAGUAAGUGCCCCUUCCACGUUUUCAACGAUGGCCUCAGGGCCAGACAUGCAUAAUGCCCAAAGAAGUCAAUUUCUAAUUAAUAUAUUAAUGUCCAAUCCGCACCAUCCACUAUAAGACAGACAGUAUAUUGUACAAAGAAUGUUUAUCGCAAGAAGAAAAUUCCUCGCUCCAACUUUCGUUCUUUGAUCUAUUAACAGCAGAAAUAAGAGACUUGUGAGCGUGAUUACAUUAGAAAGUCUAUCAACAGAAACAGAGCACAAAAAAACCAUUUUAUAUAUUCACUAGUAUUUAAAACUGAUGUAAAAGCAAAAUGGAAUAAAAACAAUCAGUGUAGAGCUUUUUGUAACCUACUAAAAAAUCUGGAUCUGCUUCCACCUUCAAGCUAGUAGUUCAAUUUAAAAACACAUACAAUCAACCUAGUUCAAACGGAAACCAAUAAGACCUUACAGAUUGUCCGUUUGGUUGAAUAUGACUACAAUCCGUUUCCUGAGUCUGUGUUCGAAACUAAUAGGGAACAACGCAACUGUGUAAAUUAGAUGAUUAGUUCUUAGAAAACAAACAUCGCAAAGAAAUUAAUAAACUCCAAAGUUCACCAUUACGUAGUUGACUUUACUGAGUGAGUUUACAAACAUCGUGUAUGGUAAAAAGCAGAAAAAACAGGAAAAUACUUGAAAAGAAACUAAAACAUGUGAAGUAAGAAUUUCCAAAAGAAAAGGAAAAAAAAAAGGAGAAGAAGCUAAAACUGAUACUGAGAAUGAAAGGAAGCAGAAAUGAAAGAGAGAUUGUACCUCCGGAAAAGAGAGUGAAAGAAAGGGGGAGAGAGGAGGAUCUGAGGAGAGGAAAUUGGUGGAGGAGAUUGAGAAGUGUUGUGAGAAUCGGUUUCGGAUCGAUCUUUUUGAGUUGGGGAUAGUGAGAAUUGGAUUGUGGAUCAAAAUCCAGCGACCUUAUAUUACUUUUCGAUCAAACCC
RNAcentral lists this long non-coding RNA (1112 nucleotides) under Cucumis sativus (cucumber). RNAcentral describes it as "long non-coding RNA (CSAT_LNC001235)". Lineage: Eukaryota; Viridiplantae; Streptophyta; Magnoliopsida; Cucurbitales; Cucurbitaceae. The record is from RNAcentral.